RNAcentral lists this ribosomal RNA (446 nucleotides) under uncultured bacterium. RNAcentral describes it as "bacterial SSU rRNA". It matches the Rfam family "Bacterial small subunit ribosomal RNA", at positions 330 to 793 of the family's 1533-position model. The record is from RNAcentral.
CCCAGACUCCUACGGGAGGCAGCAGUGGGGAAUAUUGCACAAUGGGGGAAACCCUGAUGCAGCGACGCCGCGUGAGUGAAGAAGUAAUUCGCUAUGUAAAGCUCUAUCAGCAGGGAAGAAAAUGGCGGUACCUGAGUAAGAAGCCCCGGCUAACUACGUGCCAGCAGCCGCGGUAAUACGUAGGGGGCAAGCGUUAUCCGGAUUUACUGGGUGUAAAGGGAGCGUAGACGGCAGUGCAAGUCUGGAGUGAAAGGCGGGGGCUCAACCCCCGGACUGCUCUGGAAACUGUACGGCUGGAGUGCAGGAGAGGUAAGUGGAAUUCCUAGUGUAGCGGUGAAAUGCGUAGAUAUCAGGAGGAACACCGGUGGCGAAGGCGGCUUACUGGACAGUGGCUGACGUUGAGGCUCGAAAGCGUGGGGAGCGAACAGGAUUAGAUACCCGGGUAU